This 348-nucleotide unclassified non-coding RNA is filed under the name soil metagenome. RNAcentral's name for it is "partial contains 5.8S ribosomal RNA, internal transcribed spacer 2, and large subunit ribosomal RNA". The stretch from base 1 to 120 matches the Rfam family "5.8S ribosomal RNA", at positions 35 to 154 of the family's 154-position model. The record is from RNAcentral.
GAUGAAGAACGCAGCGAAAUGCGAUAAGUAAUGUGAAUUGCAGAAUUCAGUGAAUCAUCGAAUCUUUGAACGAACAUUGCGCCCGCCAGUAUUCUGGCGGGCAUGCCUGUCUGAGCGUCAUUUCAACCCUCAUGCCCCUAGGGCGUGGUGUUGGGGAUCGGCCAAAGCCCGCGAGGGACGGCCGGCCCCUAAAUCUAGUGGCGGACCCGUCGUGGCCUCCUCUGCGAAGUAGUGAUAUUCCGCAUCGGAGAGCGACGAGCCCCUGCCGUUAAACCCCCAACUUUCCAAGGUUGACCUCAGAUCAGGUAGGAAUACCCGCUGAACUUAAGCAUAUCAAUAAGCGGAGGA